This 301-nucleotide ribosomal RNA is filed under the name uncultured bacterium. RNAcentral's name for it is "partial 16S ribosomal RNA". It matches the Rfam family "Bacterial small subunit ribosomal RNA", at positions 509 to 807 of the family's 1533-position model. The record is from RNAcentral.
CAGCAGCCACGGGAAUACAGAGGGUGCGAGCGUUAAUCGGAUUUACUGGGCGUAAAGCGUGCGUAGGCGGCUUCUUAAGUCGGAUGUGAAAUCCCUGAGCUUAACUUAGGAAUUGCAUUCGAUACUGGUUAGCUAGAGUGUGGGAGAGGAUGGUAGAAUUCCAGGUGUAGCGGUGAAAUGCGUAGAGAUCUGGAGGAAUACCGAUGGCGAAGGCAGCCAUCUGGCCUAACACUGACGCUGAGGUACGAAAGCAUGGGGAGCAAACAGGAUUAGAUACCCCUGUAGUCCCUGUCUCUUAUAC